AUAAACGCUGGCGGCGUGCCUUAUGCAUGCAAGUCGGACGGUUUCGAUUUAUCGAAGCAGUGGCGAACGGGUGCGUAAUACGUAAGUAACCUGCCCCUAAGUGGGGAAUAACUCUGAGAAAUCGGAGCUAAUACCGCAUGUGGUGAUGGGGGUAAAGCCCUAUCACUAAAGCCUUCGGGCGCUUGGGGAGGGGCUUGCGUCCGAUUAGCUAGUUGGGAGGGUAACGGCCUACCAAGGCGACGAUCGGUAGCUGGUCUGAGAGGACGACCAGCCACACUGGGACUGAGACACGGCCCAGACUCCUACGGGAGGCAGCAGCAAGGAAUAUUGCGCAAUGGGCGAAAGCCUGACGCAGCGACGCCGCGUGGAGGAUGAAGAUCUUCGGGUUGUAAACUCCUUUUCCCGGGGACGAAUAAUGACGGUACCCGGGGAAUAAGUCUCGGCUAACUACGU
This 453-nucleotide ribosomal RNA is filed under the name uncultured bacterium. RNAcentral describes it as "bacterial SSU rRNA". It matches the Rfam family "Bacterial small subunit ribosomal RNA", at positions 29 to 506 of the family's 1533-position model. The record is from RNAcentral.